CAACCAUCCCGAGCGGCUGAGAGACCUGGAUCGACGACGCCGCAGCAACCCUCCGCCCGAUCACUCGCGUGAACGGACAGGAACGGUGCUACCGCCAGGACCGAUGGAAG
This 110-nucleotide non-coding RNA is filed under the name Neomicrococcus aestuarii. RNAcentral describes it as "SAM-I sequence". It matches the Rfam family "SAM riboswitch aptamer (S box leader)". Rfam says of the family: The SAM riboswitch is found upstream of a number of genes which code for proteins involved in methionine or cysteine biosynthesis in Gram-positive bacteria. The record is from Rfam by way of RNAcentral. Lineage: Bacteria; Bacillati; Actinomycetota; Actinomycetes; Micrococcales; Micrococcaceae.